GCUUGGUUAUAGGUUUUAGGUUCACUAACUUGGGAAAGAUUCAAGACAUAUGAUUUAUGAAGAGAUGAUAAUGCAUCAUAUGAGAGAUAUGAAGAGAUAGGAUAUAAGGUACCUGUGGAUGACUGAGUGGCGGAAGAAGUAGAUAACAUGUUGCAAUGAUAGUCCUGCAAAUAAGAUGGUUUAUGUGUUGGCCUGGUUGAUUUCCUUUGUGGAGUAGCAAUGACAGGU
RNAcentral lists this long non-coding RNA (228 nucleotides) under Vigna radiata. RNAcentral's name for it is "long non-coding RNA (VRAD_LNC002870)". Lineage: Eukaryota; Viridiplantae; Streptophyta; Magnoliopsida; Fabales; Fabaceae. The record is from RNAcentral.